GGAGGGUUCGCAUAGAGGUCUAGUGCGCACGCUUGGAAAGCGUGUAUGGAGAAAUCCAUCAGGAGUCCGAAUCUCCUACCCUCCGCCA
This 88-nucleotide transfer RNA is filed under the name Candidatus Nomurabacteria bacterium RIFCSPHIGHO2_01_FULL_36_23. RNAcentral describes it as "tRNA-Ser". The record is from RNAcentral. RNAcentral also lists the same sequence under 2 other names. Lineage: Bacteria; Candidatus Nomuraibacteriota.